AUGAACGCUGGCGGCGUGCCUAAUACAUGCAAGUCGAGCGAACAGAUGAGGAGCUUGCUCCUCUGACGUUAGCGGCGGACGGGUGAGUAACACGUGGAUAACCUACCUAUAAGACUGGGAUAACUUCGGGAAACCGGAGCUAAUACCGGAUAAUAUAUUGAACCGCAUGGUUCAAUAGUGAAAGACGGUUUUGCUGUCACUUAUAGAUGGAUCCGCGCCGCAUUAGCUAGUUGGUAAGGUAACGGCUUACCAAGGCAACGAUGCGUAGCCGACCUGAGAGGGUGAUCGGCCACACUGGAACUGAGACACGGUCCAGACUCCUACGGGAGGCAGCAGUAGGGAAUCUUCCGCAAUGGGCGAAAGCUUGACGGAGCAACGCCGCGUGAGUGAUGAAGGUCUUCGGAUCGUAAAACUCUGUUAUUAGGGAAGAACAAAUGUGUAAGUAACUAUGCACGUCUUGACGGCACCUAAUCAGAAAGCCACGGCUAACUACGUG
This 496-nucleotide ribosomal RNA is filed under the name uncultured bacterium. RNAcentral's name for it is "partial 16S ribosomal RNA". It matches the Rfam family "Bacterial small subunit ribosomal RNA", at positions 29 to 507 of the family's 1533-position model. The record is from RNAcentral.